CCUACGGGCGGCACCAGUGGGGAAUAUUGCACAAUGGGCGCAAGCCUGAUGCAGCCAUGCCGCGUGUAUGAAGAAGGCCUUCGGGUUGUAAAGUACUUUCAGCGGGGAGGAAGGCGAUAAGGUUAAUAACCUCGUUGAUUGACGUUACCCGCAGAAGAAGCACCGGCUAACUCCGUGCCAGCAGCCGCGGUAAUACGGAGGGUGCAAGCGUUAAUCGGAAUUACUGGGCGUAAAGCGCACGCAGGCGGUCUGUCAAGUCGGAUGUGAAAUCCCCGGGCUCAACCUGGGAACUGCAUUCGAAACUGGCAGGCUAGAGUCUUGUAGAGGGGGGUAGAAUUCCAGGUGUAGCGGUGAAAUGCGUAGAGAUCUGGAGGAAUACCGGUGGCGAAGGCGGCCCCCUGGACAA
RNAcentral lists this ribosomal RNA (406 nucleotides) under uncultured bacterium. Its description in RNAcentral is "bacterial SSU rRNA". It matches the Rfam family "Bacterial small subunit ribosomal RNA", at positions 338 to 736 of the family's 1533-position model. The record is from RNAcentral.